RNAcentral lists this small nuclear RNA (23 nucleotides) under Arabidopsis thaliana (thale cress). RNAcentral describes it as "snRNA_18072". The record is from RNAcentral. Lineage: Eukaryota; Viridiplantae; Streptophyta; Magnoliopsida; Brassicales; Brassicaceae.
AACCAAUUGGGUCAAGACCCAAC